Molecule: ribosomal RNA, 490 nt
Filed under: uncultured bacterium
Lineage: Bacteria
Description: partial 16S ribosomal RNA
Rfam family: Bacterial small subunit ribosomal RNA
Source: RNAcentral
GAUGAACGCUGGCUACAGGCUUAACACAUGCAAGUCGAGGGGAAACGACGGGGAAGCUUGCUUCCCCGGGCGUCGACCGGCGCACGGGUGAGUAACGCGUAUCCAACCUGCCUCUGACUGAGGGAUAACCCGUCGAAAGUCGGCCUAAUACCUCAUGGCAUCGUCUGCGGGCAUCCAACGACGAUUAAAGAUUUCAUCGGUCAGAGAUGGGGAUGCGUCUGAUUAGCUUGUUGGCGGGGUAACGGCCCACCAAGGCGACGAUCAGUAGGGGUUCUGAGAGGAAGGUCCCCCACAUUGGAACUGAGACACGGUCCAAACUCCUACGGGAGGCAGCAGUGAGGAAUAUUGGUCAAUGGGCGAGAGCCUGAACCAGCCAAGUAGCGUGCAGGAUGACGGCCCUAUGGGUUGUAAACUGCUUUUAUGCGGGGAUAAAGUGAGGGACGUGUCCUUCAUUGCAGGGACCGCAUGAAUAAGGACCGGCUAAUUCCGU